This 502-nucleotide ribosomal RNA is filed under the name uncultured bacterium. RNAcentral's name for it is "partial 16S ribosomal RNA". It matches the Rfam family "Bacterial small subunit ribosomal RNA", at positions 30 to 523 of the family's 1533-position model. The record is from RNAcentral.
AUUGAACGCUGGCGGCAUGCCUUACACAUGCAAGUCGAACGGCAGCAUAGGAGCUUGCUCCUGAUGGCGAGUGGCGAACGGGUGAGUAAUAUAUCGGAACGUGCCCUAGAGUGGGGGAUAACUAGUCGAAAGACUAGCUAAUACCGCAUACGAUCUACGGAUGAAAGUGGGGGAUCGCAAGACCUCAUGCUCCUGGAACGGCCGAUAUCUGAUUAGCUAGUUGGUGGGGUAAAAGCCUACCAAGGCAACGAUCAGUAGCUGGUCUGAGAGGACGACCAGCCACACCGGGACUGAGACACGGCCCAGACUCCUACGGGAGGCAGCAGUGGGGAAUUUUGGACAAUGGGGGCAACCCUGAUCCAGCAAUGCCGCGUGAGUGAAGAAGGCCUUCGGGUUGUAAAGCUCUUUUGUCAGGGAAGAAACGGUAGUAGCGAAUAACUACUACUAAUGACGGUACCUGAAGAAUAAGCACCGGCUAACUACGUGCCAGCCGCCGCCGUAA